CCCUUAGAUGUUCUGGGCCGCACGCGCGCUACACUGACGAAUGCAACGAGCUUAUAACCUUGGCCGAAAGGUCUGGGUAAUCUCCAAAUUUCGUCGUGAUGGGGAUAGAUUAUUGCAAUUAUUAAUCUUCAACGAGGAAUGCCUAGUAAGCGCAAGUCAUCAGCUUGCGUUGAUUACGUCCCUGCCCUUUGUACACACCGCCCGUCGCUCCUACCGAUUGAAUGGUCCGGUGAAAUCUCGGGACGGCGGCUUGGUCGCUUGCGUCCGACUGCUGAAACUUGAUUAAACCAUAUCAUUUAGAGGAAGGUGAANUCGUAACA
RNAcentral lists this ribosomal RNA (320 nucleotides) under uncultured eukaryote. RNAcentral describes it as "partial 18S ribosomal RNA". It matches the Rfam family "Eukaryotic small subunit ribosomal RNA", at positions 1470 to 1796 of the family's 1831-position model. The record is from RNAcentral.